This 599-nucleotide ribosomal RNA is filed under the name Salmonella enterica subsp. enterica serovar Legon. RNAcentral describes it as "bacterial LSU rRNA". It matches the Rfam family "Bacterial large subunit ribosomal RNA", at positions 199 to 839 of the family's 2925-position model. Lineage: Bacteria; Pseudomonadati; Pseudomonadota; Gammaproteobacteria; Enterobacterales; Enterobacteriaceae. The record is from RNAcentral.
CAUCUAAGUACCCCGAGGAAAAGAAAUCAACCGAGAUUCCCCCAGUAGCGGCGAGCGAACGGGGAGGAGCCCAGAGCCUGAAUCAGCAUGUGUGUUAGUGGAAGCGUCUGGAAAGGCGCGCGAUACAGGGUGACAGCCCCGUACACAAAAGUGCAUGUGCUGUGAGCUCGAUGAGUAGGGCGGGACACGUGGUAUCCUGUCUGAAUAUGGGGGGACCAUCCUCCAAGGCUAAAUACUCCUGACUGACCGAUAGUGAACCAGUACCGUGAGGGAAAGGCGAAAAGAACCCCGGCGAGGGGAGUGAAAAAGAACCUGAAACCGUGUACGUACAAGCAGUGGGAGCACCCUUUGGGGUGUGACUGCGUACCUUUUGUAUAAUGGGUCAGCGACUUAUAUUCUGUAGCAAGGUUAACCGAAUAGGGGAGCCGGAGGGAAACCGAGUCUUAAUUGGGCGUUAAGUUGCAGGGUAUAGACCCGAAACCCGGUGAUCUAGCCAUGGGCAGGUUGAAGGUUGGGUAACACUAACUGGAGGACCGAACCGACUAAUGUUGAAAAAUUAGCGGAUGACCUGUGGCUGGGGGUGAAAGGCCAAUCAAACC